CGAGGAAGCUAAAUGCUAAAAAAAUGGAAUCGAGUGUACAUUACGGUGUAGAUUUUGGCAAGGAGUAAUAUGUAUGAUGCUGAUGCAACAGACAAAUGCAUAUGCCAUGUAUCAUCAGGGGAGCUUAGUCAGAAGCAUUGCAAAAGUGAAACAAACCAGCUAUUUAUGUUCAGGCUCCAGACAUCUCUUUUUUCUCGUAUUCACAAUUUUAGUGAGAAGGAUUGCCAAGCUGACAAGUGGGAUAAACCAUUCGAGAAUUUAGUAUAUAACAUGUUAUCUGCUUCCGUGUGUCUUAGAAUAGUAAUAUCUCUGUUCCAAGUUGUUCUGUUUCCAUGUACUUUUGACAGUGUGCUUGACUGCGUUGUAAAAACAGAGAAGAAAAGAACAAUUUAUGUCAUCUUGAA
Molecule: unclassified non-coding RNA, 404 nt
Filed under: Zea mays
Lineage: Eukaryota; Viridiplantae; Streptophyta; Magnoliopsida; Poales; Poaceae
Description: misc RNA Zm00001eb323910
Source: RNAcentral